This 401-nucleotide ribosomal RNA is filed under the name Phytophthora megasperma. RNAcentral's name for it is "partial small subunit ribosomal RNA". It matches the Rfam family "Eukaryotic small subunit ribosomal RNA", at positions 30 to 432 of the family's 1831-position model. The record is from RNAcentral. Lineage: Eukaryota; Oomycota; Peronosporomycetes; Peronosporales; Peronosporaceae.
GCUUGUCUCAAAGAUUAAGCCAUGCAUGUCUAAGUAUAAACGACUUUAUACUGUGAAACUGCGAAUGGCUCAUUAUAUCAGUUAUAGUUUAUUUGAUGGUCCUUACUACUUGGAUACCCGUAGUAAUUCUAGAGCUAAUACAUGCGCAAAUACCCAACUGCUUGUCGGACGGGUAGCAUUUAUUAGAUUGAAACCAAUGCAGUCUUCGGGCUGGUAUUGUGUUGAGUCAUAAUAACUGUGCGGAUCGCGUUUUACGCGAUAAAUCGAUUGAGUUUCUGCCCUAUCAGCUUUGGAUGGUAGGAUAUGGGCCUACCAUGGCAUUAACGGGUAACGGGGAAUUAGGGUUUGAUUCCGGAGAGGGAGCCUUAGAAACGGCUACCACAUCCAAGGAAGGCAGCAGG